This 563-nucleotide ribosomal RNA is filed under the name uncultured bacterium. Its description in RNAcentral is "partial 16S ribosomal RNA". It matches the Rfam family "Bacterial small subunit ribosomal RNA", at positions 355 to 911 of the family's 1533-position model. The record is from RNAcentral.
UGGGGAAUAUUGCACAAUGGGCGCAAGCCUGAUGCAGCCAUGCCGCGUGUGUGAAGAAGGCCUUCGGGUUGUAAAGCACUUUCAGCGAGGAGGAAGGUGGUGAGCUUAAUACGUUCAUCAAUUGACGUUACUCGCAGAAGAAGCACCGGCUAACUCCGUGCCAGCAGCCGCGGUAAUACGGAGGGUGCAAGCGUUAAUCGGAAUUACUGGGCGUAAAGCGCACGCAGGCGGUUUGUUAAGUCAGAUGUGAAAUCCCCGGGCUCAACCUGGGAACUGCAUUUGAAACUGCAAGCUAGAGUCUCGUAGAGGGGGGUAGAAUUCCAGGUGUAGCGGUGAAAUGCGUAGAGAUCUGGAGGAAUACCGGUGGCGAAGGCGGCCCCCCUGGACGAAGACUGACGCUCAGGUGCGAAAGCGUGGGGAGCAAACAGAUUAGAUACCCUGGUAGUCCACGCUGUAAAACGAUGUCGAUUUUGGAGGUUGUGCCCUGAGGCGUGGNUUCCGGAGCUAACGNGUUAAAUCGACCGCCNGGGGAGUACGGCCNCAAGGUUAAAACUAAAUGAAUU